RNAcentral lists this ribosomal RNA (212 nucleotides) under Darwiniella angularis. RNAcentral describes it as "partial 12S ribosomal RNA". Lineage: Eukaryota; Metazoa; Arthropoda; Thecostraca; Balanomorpha; Pyrgomatidae. The record is from RNAcentral.
AGUCUGUAUACCGCUGUUGUCAGUCAGUUUUUUUAGAAAACUUUCCUUCAUGAAAUAAUCAUUUACUUCAAGUAAAGGUGCAGCUUAUAUAAAAGAUAGAGGUGGGUUACAAUUAUAAGAUUAAUACGGAUUUAGUUUCUGAAAUAACUUUUGAAGGUGGAUUUAAUUGUAAAGUUUAAUUAAACUUGAUGAGAGCUCUAUCUUGUGUACAC